This 519-nucleotide ribosomal RNA is filed under the name uncultured Glomus. RNAcentral describes it as "SSU rRNA". It matches the Rfam family "Eukaryotic small subunit ribosomal RNA", at positions 569 to 1092 of the family's 1831-position model. The record is from RNAcentral. Lineage: Eukaryota; Fungi; Glomeromycota; Glomeromycetes; Glomerales; Glomeraceae.
AGCAGCCGCGGUAAUUCCAGCUCCAAUAGCGUAUAUUAAAGUUGCUGCAGUUAAAAAGCUCGUAGUUGAAUUUCGGGACCAAUAUGUCGGUCGUGCUUCGGUACGUACUGGCAUCGUUGGUUUCUCCCUUCUGACGAACCAUGAUGUCAUUUAUUUGGUGUCGUGGGGAAUCAGGACUGUUACUUUGAAAAAAUUAGAGUAUUUAAAGCAGGCUCACGCUUGAAUACAUUAGCAUGGAAUAAUGAAAUAGGACGUUUGAUUCUAUUUUGUUGGUUUCUGGGAUCGACGUAAUGAUUAAUAGGGAUAGUUGGGGGCAUUAGUAUUCAAUUGUCAGAGGUGAAAUUCUUGGAUUUAUUGAAGACUAACUACUGCGAAAGCAUUUGCCAAGGANGUUUUCAUUAAUCAAGAACGAAAGUUAGGGGUCGAAGACGAUCAGAUACCGUCGUAGUCUUAACCAUAAACUAUGCCGACUAGGGAUCGGAUGAUGUUAAUUUUUAAUGACUCAUUCGGCGCCUUAAC